Molecule: ribosomal RNA, 651 nt
Filed under: uncultured Methanomicrobiales archaeon
Lineage: Archaea; Methanobacteriati; Methanobacteriota; Methanomicrobia; Methanomicrobiales
Description: bacterial SSU rRNA
Rfam family: Archaeal small subunit ribosomal RNA
Source: RNAcentral
AUUAGGUUGUUGUUGGGGUAGCGGCCCAACAAGCCUGUAAUCGGUACGGGUUGUGGGAGCAAGAGCCCGGAGAUGGAUUCUGAGACACGAAUCCAGGCCCUACGGGGCGCAGCAGGCGCGAAAACUUUACAGUGCGGGAAACCGUGAUAAGGGAACUCCGAGUGCCCGUAGAAUCGGGCUGUCCAUCUGUUUGGAUAACAGGUGAAGAAAGGGCCGGGCAGGACCGGUGCCAGCCGCCGCGGUAGUACCGGCGGCUCGAGUGGUGGCCACUAUUACUGGGCUUAAAGCGUUCGUAGCUGGUCUGUUAAGUCUCUGGGGAAAUCUACUGGCUUAGCCAGUAGGCGUCUCAGGGAUACUGGCAGACUAGGGACCGGGAGAGGUGAGAGGUACUCCAGGGGUAGGAGUGAAAUCCUGUGGUCCUUGGGGGACCACCUGUGGCGAAGGCGUCUCACCAGAACGGCUCCGACAGUGAGGGACGAAAGCUGGGGGAGCAAACCGGAUUAGAUACCCGGGUAGUCCCAGCCGUAAACGAUGCGCGUUAGGUGUAUCGGUGACCACGAGUCACCGACGUGCCGAAGAGAAAUCGUGAAACGUGCCGCCUGGGAAGUACGGUCGCAAGGCUGAAACUUAAAGGAAUUGGCGGGGGAGCAC